Molecule: ribosomal RNA, 440 nt
Filed under: uncultured bacterium
Lineage: Bacteria
Description: partial 16S ribosomal RNA
Rfam family: Bacterial small subunit ribosomal RNA
Source: RNAcentral
CCUACGGGGGGCAGCAGUGGGGAAUAUUGCACAAUGGGGGAAACCCUGAUGCAGCGACGCCGCGUGAGCGAUGAAGUAUUUCGGUAUGUAAAGCUCUAUCAGCAGGGAAGAAAAUGACGGUACCUGACUACGAAGCCCCGGCUAACUACGUGCCAGCAGCCGCGGUAAUACGUGGGGGGCAAGCGUUAUCCGGAUUUACUGGGUUUAAAGGGAGCGUAGGCGGUUCUGCAAGCCAGAUGUGAAAGCCCGGGGCGCAACCCCGGGACCGCAUUUGAAACUGUAAGGCUCGAGUGUCGGAGAGGUAUGCGGAAUUCGUGGUGUAGCGGUGAAAUGCAUAGAUAUUAGGAGGAACACCAGUGGCGAAGGCAGCCUACUGGACGAUGACUGACGUUGAGGCUCGAAAGCGUGGGGAUCAAACAGGAUUAGAUACCCUUGUAGUC